Molecule: ribosomal RNA, 499 nt
Filed under: uncultured Glomus
Lineage: Eukaryota; Fungi; Glomeromycota; Glomeromycetes; Glomerales; Glomeraceae
Description: SSU rRNA
Rfam family: Eukaryotic small subunit ribosomal RNA
Source: RNAcentral
AGCAGCCGCGGUAAUUCCAGCUCCAAUAGCGUAUAUUAAAGUUGUUGCAGUUAAAAGCUCGUAGUUGAAUUUCGGGAUCAAUAUGUUGGUCGUGCCUUGGUACGUACUGGCAUUAUCGAUUCCUACCUCCUGAAGAACCUCGAUGUCAUUAAUUUGGUGUCUUGGGGAAUCAGGACUGUUACUUUGAAAAAUUAGAGUGUUUAAAGCAGGCUCGCGCUUGAAUACAUUAGCAUGGAAUAAUGAAAUAGGACGUUUGAUUCUAUUUUGUUGGUUUCUAGGAUCGACGUAAUGAUUAAUAGGGAUAGUUGGGGGCAUUAGUAUUCAAUUGUCAGAGGUGAAAUUCUUGGAUUUAUUGAAGACUAACUACUGCGAAAGCAUUUGCCAAGGAUGUUUUCAUUAAUCAAGAACGAAAGCUAGGGGAUCGAAGACGAUCAGAUACCGUCGUAGUCUUAACCAUAAACUAUGCCGACUAGGGAUCGGAUGAUGUAAUUUUUAAUGA